CAGCAGCCGCGGUAAUACGGAGGGGGCUAGCGUUGUUCGGAAUCACUGGGCGUAAAGGGAGCGUAGGCGGCGUGGUAAGUCAGAUGUGAAAUCCCGGGGCUCAACCCCGGAACUGCAUCCGAUACUGCCGUGCUAGAGGAUUGGAGAGGUAGCUGGAAUUCUUGGUGUAGCAGUGAAAUGCGUGGAGAUCAAGAGGAACACUCGUGGCGAAAGCGAGCUACUGGACAAUAUCUGACGCUGAGGCUCGAAGGCCAGGGUAGCGAAAGGGAUUAGAUACCCCAGUAGUCCCUGUCUCUUAUAC
RNAcentral lists this ribosomal RNA (301 nucleotides) under uncultured bacterium. RNAcentral describes it as "partial 16S ribosomal RNA". It matches the Rfam family "Bacterial small subunit ribosomal RNA", at positions 509 to 807 of the family's 1533-position model. The record is from RNAcentral.